This is a long non-coding RNA of Photinus pyralis (common eastern firefly), 1593 nucleotides long. RefSeq lists it as uncharacterized. The record is from RefSeq and is a predicted model, not a curated record. NCBI's taxonomy places the organism in Eukaryota, Metazoa, Arthropoda, Insecta, Coleoptera, Lampyridae. The transcript is spliced from 5 exons.
AAUUGUAGUUAUGGUCCCUAACACCCCGGUGUGCGGUUCCACGAAGUCUGUCGUGUCCAAUGUACCUAAAGCCUCGUUUAACAUUUACCUUAACACAUUAGAAAUGCAUUAAUCCAUGAGAUGGAAAUAAUUGUUCCUGAAACUGAACUACUGAGGAAUAAGAUUUCGCGCUUUAAACAGUUGGGGGAUUCGAACUGCGAACAAAUUAACAUUGCAACGUACGCACUGCACCCAUCUCUACCAUUUUCAGGGAAGGGAAACUUCGAGAAACCCCCCGCAUUCGUGCACCGUUAAAGAUCUGUGGGAGAUCCAAAAACUCCUAAUUUGUUUUCGAAUAGUUAAUUAUAGGGUCGUAAAUAAAGAGGGUUGGACAUAAUUUAUAGGUACUUUCUUUACGUUUAGUUCCUCUCCGAAACCGAUUUCGCCCAUAUACGUUUUGAUUGAUUGAUAGAAAUUCACGUACGAUUACAAAUGUGUAACGGAGGUAAAUAAUUGGCCUAUGUUUAUUGCGGUGAGGGUACCUUCGAAUUUGGUUAGAAACUUCCUUCAAUAUGUAGUGAUUGGGAAAUAAUUAAAUUCGCAUAUUCCAAACCUCAACUUAUUGUUCUCUCGUGCUUGUAAUCAUUGAUCAAAUCGGCCAUAUCUAAUCACCUAUUUGUUUUGAGAUAACAAAGGGGAAAGCUGAAAAGGUGCAAAAGUUAGCAUGGAUCCAAUCGUAAAACUUUUGCGAAAUUUCUCAGCAUCAUUGACCAUUUGAUCAAGGACCUUCUUCUAAGGCAGAUCCAUUGUAUACUGAUACGCUGAUAUUUAGAUUGGAAUGCCCAUCAAAGAUUCUCUGAUGAACAUGUCUUCAUCCUGACGAAGAAUAAUCAGUGACAGUGACGACCUUUAUGGUUAACUUUGUCAAGUCGAGAUUUAAGAACCGAUACUGUCCUUAGUUCGAUAAGGAGGAUGGGAGAAAUUGUGAAGGAAAUGUCCAACGGUUCCUUUCUCGAGUGCCUAAUUCAAUGAACCUAAAGCGUUUUAGCCGCAACGAUUUUCGGAUCGAUAUCAUGCAGCUCAACGAGCAGAAUGGUAACAAUAACAACUCACUUUUUGUAGUGAAUCUGUAACACUGUGCACAGAUAUAUUACGUAUAUCUGUGGUACAGUGUAGACAAAUAAUUCAUUAACGAAGUAUUAUUGUUUUUUUCAGAUUCCUUUUUCUACCACCGCUACCACCACAAAUUCACAAUAUAUAUUUUACUUAUCAUUUUUUUCUUGUUCAGUUCAAUAAUCUUGUUGUAGGCUUGACUGAAGGGCUGCACCGAUCCAUCUCAUAUUCAGGUUCAGCAGGGUUGUUUCUUAGACGACUCCGAUUUGAAGGCCCGAUUGUACCACAUUCGUGUAAUUUAGGGUCAGUACUCAAUUGAACUGAAAGAAGGUGGUUAGGCAAUUGCAGAGUUUUAACCAAUUCCCGAAGUCGGUUCAACUGAACAUCAAUUUGGUACAAUCUGGCCUAAGCUUUUCAAGAGGACACCAGAUGCAAUCAACAACGAUUGCAUCUUCGUAAUAAUUGUAACUGUAAAUUCUUAAAAUUACAAUAAAAAUCUCA